Non-coding RNA from Oryctolagus cuniculus (rabbit), 932 nucleotides. NCBI's taxonomy places the organism in Eukaryota, Metazoa, Chordata, Mammalia, Lagomorpha, Leporidae. The record is from RefSeq and is a predicted model, not a curated record.
AAUGGCAAGACAUCUCUUUUAAAAGCUAAAUAGUAUUUCUAUCAAUCAAUCAUGUAUUUAUCACCUGUCUGCCUAUGCCUCCAUGUGUCUGUCUCCAUCUCCACCUCAGAGCUUCUUUGUCUAUUCAUCCACCAAUGGACAUUUUUGCUGUUGUGAAUAAUGCUGCAGUGAAUAUGGGAGUGCAGAUGUCUGAACAAGGUCAUGAUUCCAUUUCCUUUGGGUAUACUCUCAGAAGAGAGGGUAUUACCCACCCUUGACACCACUAGUGAUCCACAGUGCCAAGCAAAUCUGGACUUUGGUCUGCUGAUUAUAUUAGCUGCAAUCUAACUGAUACAUCUCAGUGAAGCUUCACAACUAUUAAGAUGCUCAGGAUUCGAUGGAAACACCAAAUAUAAAAUGGAAACUCAUCUACAUAACAAAGGCGAGGAGAAAGCAGCCAUCGCCUCGGCCAUCCCCAGAUCUUUGCUUUGCAACAAGUACUGGAGUCUUACAGAGUGCACACAAUACAAGAAGCUGUAUCGUUUGAAGAACUACACAGCCCCCAUUCCACCAAGCUCUCUGUUGGCAAGUUGGCGGAACUCAGAAACUUUCCCAGCGGACUGGAUGUGGGAUGCUCAGAACCUGAAGGUACAGAUAUUUUAAACAGCUCUGCCUUCAGGCCAGCCAGCCUAGCGUGGUGUUUUAUGCAGGAAAGAGCACAGCUCCUGUAACCUGUCCGUCUGUCUGAAUUGGAGUCCCAUCCUUUUGCUGGACGAUUCGGGGAAUGUUAACUCCUCUGGGCUUCCAGUCUCUCAUCUGCAACAUGGAAGACUCGUCCCCUUACUCUGUCAGUCAGGGGUAGUGUAGACGGACAGCGUUUAUUGCCACUAACCACUGCUCGACACAUCAUGGGAAUUGUUGUUGUUAUCAUGAUUAAUAAAAACUGUUACGGU